AAUAAAAUUAUUUAUGGUUUAAAAAUUUAUUAUAAAUUUAUUUUACAUAUAAAUUUUAGUGUUAAUUUUUAAUUUAUUUAAAUAAUAAUUAAUAUUUAUUUGUAGUAAUUAGAAUUAAAAAUUUAAGUAAUUAAGAUUUAGUAAUAUUUAAAUUAAUAACAAAUUUUGUGCCAGCAGUUGCGGUUAUACAAAAAUUAAAUUAAAUUUUUUUAGGGAUUAAUUAAUAAUAGAUUAUAUAAUAAAAUUAAAAUUUAAAUUAUUAAGUGAAAUUUUAAUUUAUGAAAAUUUUAUAUUGAAUUAUGAAUUAAAAAAUUUUAUUAAAAACUAGGAUUAGAUACCCUAUUAUUAAAAAUUUAAAUUAAUAAUACUAAAAUAGUAUAUAAUUAUUUAUAAAAACUUAAAUAAUUUGGCGGUAUUUUAGUUUAUUUAGAGGAAUCUGUUUAUUAAUUGAUAUUCCACGAAUAAAUUUACUUAAUUUAUUUAAUUUUGUAUAUCGUUGUUAAAAAAAUAUUUUAAAAUAAUAAUAAUAUUUUAAUUUUUAUAUUAAAAGUUAAAUCAGAUCAAGAUGCAGAUUAUAAUUAAGAAUAUAAUGGAUUACAAUAAAUUUAUUUAAUUGGAUGUUAUUUUUAAAAAUUAAUUGAAAUUGGAUUUAAAUGUAAUUUUAUUUAAUUUAUUAAAAUGAUUUUAAUUUAAAAUAUGUACAUAUUGCCCGUCGCUUUCAUUAAUAAAUUGAAAUAAGUCGUAACAAAGUAGAGGUACUGGAAAGUGUUUCUAGAAAGAGUA
Molecule: non-coding RNA, 783 nt
Organism: Bombyx mori (domestic silkworm)
Lineage: Eukaryota; Metazoa; Arthropoda; Insecta; Lepidoptera; Bombycidae
Source: the annotation of a RefSeq genome assembly